Molecule: unclassified non-coding RNA, 1413 nt
Filed under: Polistes canadensis
Lineage: Eukaryota; Metazoa; Arthropoda; Insecta; Hymenoptera; Vespidae
Description: uncharacterized LOC106789234, transcript variant X2
Source: RNAcentral
UACCAUACUAUUAUACCCUCAAAAUUUUCCCAUAAAUUUGAUUAUUCAUUUAUUUUUCAACGAAGAAUCCGGCAAAAUGGAAUAUAAGCAAAAUACCGGAUUUCAAGUUAUCGGCGAUAACGUAUAAUCGUAUAAAAAAAAAAAAAAAAAAAAAAACGAAAUAAAAGUAAGAUUCGAGGGUAUCGACGUCAUGUGACCGAUCGAUUAUUAUUUGCUCCCCUAGCCUUCUUCUUCGAUAUCAGUCGAUAAUUGCGAGCGCAAACGCGUCACCAUUUCGAAUUUAUUUUAACGUAUACACCGAAAAACUACCAACGAUCGGACCACGUUGUCGUUUAAGUAAAUAUAAUCUUAUUAGAUUAAUUAUACUUAGACCUCGGUUUAAUAAUGUGCAUAUUUUAUUUGCACCGAAAUUUUGUUAACCGCGAAUUUCUCUGUCUUUUCUUUUCUUUUCUUUUUUUUUCUUUUUAUUAUAUACUUCUUUCUCUUUCUUUCUAUCUUUCACAGGAUAGGACGCACUUGCGUGACGCGAACGCCACGCGCAGCUGCGACCUUCGUCGCCCUUGUCCCACCGGUUGUAUGCCAUACGAGAGAUACUCGUAUUCAUCAUUUUCACGAGCGACGCACUUAAACGUGGUGCUGCUGCUGUUGCUGUUGCUGCUGCUGCGACGUUUUUCCUAUUUUUCUUUCUCCUUCUUUUUUCUCUCAUUCUCUUUUAUCUCUCACAAUCUUUUAACUCUUCUCACUAUCGCAUACUCCAAUAUUCUUGUACCACAUAUAAAAUAUUCUUUAAUUAUAUUUUAUCUUUCGGAGAUAUACUAAUAAAUGUGGGCCCAAUCGCGUUUAAAUAAUUCAUAAGUAAAGAUUAUUUUCUAUUUUCUUUUGUUUUGUUUUUAAGUUUGAUCUCUGGCACAAAUACAAUAGAAAAAUAAAAGGAUAAUCAUAAUAUUAUUUGUGAGAGAAAGAAAGGAAAAAAGUUUCAAUGGUAAGAGUGUGAAAGGGGGGGGGGGAAAAAAAGGAAAAAAGUAAAAGAUAUAAUAUAGAAAAGUACGGGUGCGGUGCGAUACGGUGCUGUGCGGUGCAGUGCGGUGCGGUGCGGUGCAGUGCGGUGCAGUGGCGGGCAAAGUAAACGGCGCCGUGCGUGCGGCGCUGUGCGUUGAUAGACAGCGCAGUUCAGUGUGCAGUCAUAUUCAAAUUCUAUCGAAGAAGAAGAACAAGAACAAGAACAACAACAACAACAACAACAACGUUUGUUUAAUCUACGAUUAAGUGAUUCGAGUCUUUUUGAGAGUGGGGGUAUAUUUAGGGGAAUAGUGAUCUAAAAAAUCGAUCAAUACGGGUAAUCGGGAACCAAAGGAGUUGGACGAGUCGGGGAGUUCGAGUUCGAGUUCAAGUUCACGAUUGGACUUGGACGCG